This 1438-nucleotide long non-coding RNA is filed under the name Betta splendens (Siamese fighting fish). RNAcentral's name for it is "lncRNA (ENSBSLG00000011167.1)". Lineage: Eukaryota; Metazoa; Chordata; Actinopteri; Anabantiformes; Osphronemidae. The record is from RNAcentral.
AUGGACUCCAGGAUGUCCGUGAUGUUUUUAUCCGCCGAGCUAGCUCCAGGUGACUCAGGUGCGUCUGACGGACGGGAACGCUUGUUUGGAGCCGUGUCCUUUUUCCCCAUUACCAGACGCUCGAAGCACUCGUCGAUGUACUCAAAACUUUCUUCGGUGUUAUCCAGAAAGGUAGGGUGGUUGAUUAUUUUCCGUAAAAGUUAUUUAUUUAUUUAUUUAAAUUGGCGGAUAGUUUGUCGCGUUGUUGUUUACUACCGGUGUUGCGCCGCCUUGUUGAAUUUCUCGUGCUGUUCUCGCAGAGUCUCGCGUUCUCUCACAGCAUCGCGUUCUCUCCCUCACACAGCCACCUAUUUUUUAAUAGUGGGACAAAAUCUGUCUAUGUUUACGCAAUACACAAUGAAUGCUUCCAUGCUGAAUGUAUUGCUGAAUAAUUGCUGAAAAUAGCUGAAACAUUUAAAACAUAUCUGGAAGUAGCUUAAGCACAUAAAGUAUAGAUAAAUGUAUCUCAACAAAACUGAGUGUUAAAUAUUUUUGUAGUAAAUUUACAGCUGCCAGAUUGAAAUUGACAAACUCAAACCACCACUACAUUAACGUUUAAACAGAUACAUCUCAAAUUUAUUACAAGUGGUGACAUAAUAUUAUGAGCAAGGAAGAAAGGACAGAGCAGCGGUGAGAAGUCGCCUGGUCUCCUUGAAACCGAGAGGCAAAGAAAGCUCCUCUUUAACUCAUCAUACUGCAUUACAUUAAAUAGACAUGAACUUAACUUCAACAUUAAGAUGACAAAGCAAAGUUAAAGAUUCUGUAGUAAAUAGAACUCCUAAGCUCUUCCUUCAGCUCCUACAGGUGAUCCUCACAUGCUGCCUGUAAAGAAGUACAUUCAGUAACACAUCUCACAGCUUUUCUUUCACAUAAGCGUCCUCUUUAUCACUACAGAUUCUUCGCAGACUCUACACCGACCAAAGUCAAUCAUAAAGGUCUGUGCUCCCACAUCAUCACUGCAUCUGCAAUUCAGGUGAUCCAUCCAUCCAUUUUCCAAGCCGCUUAUUCCCUAAUACGGGGGUGCUGGGGCCUAACCCAGCUGGCUAUAGUCCAUCGCAGGGGAACACAGAGACAGACAACCAUGCACACACACACCCAAACCUACGGGCAAUGGAGAGAGUCCAAUCAACCUAAUGCACGUCUUUGGACCGUGGGAGGAAGCCGUAGAACCCGGAGAGAACCCCCGCAAACACGGGGAGAACGUGCAAACUCCACACAGAAAGGCAUCAGGGCCUCCUCCGGGAAUAGAACCCAGAACCUUCUUGUUGUGAGGCAACAGUGCCACCCUCAUGUACUCAUGUACGUGCAAAUUCAUACAUCAAUGUAUAUCAUUGUUGCAGCUAAGGGUGGCGCUCCGCCCACAUCCUAUAGCCGUGUUGGUCAGUGCAGCCCCACAAUA